AGUUUGCACAAAGUCCAGUGUAGUUUCUUGAGGGUAAUAUACACGGCUGUGACUAUAACCAAAGAUAAUUUUCUUGGGAGGUGAUAUGGUCGGCAUUUGAUUAUAGGGUAUUCUAGGUCGGGUGAACAAAAGGACUUGAGUUCCUGGACGUUAUCACAAUCACACCACGAGUAGUUAAUCAUGAAACAUACACCACCGCCUUUCUUCUUCCUAGAGAGUUCUUUAUUCCUGUCUGCGCGAUGUACUGAGAACCCAGCUGACUGUAUGGAAGGGGACAGUAUGUGAUUCCAUAAAACAGAGUAUGUUACACACCCACCGUUACACACCCUUGAUAAAGAUGAACAAAAAAAUGUAUAAAUGAAAUAAUACAAACACUGAGCUUUAUGCUCCCAAAAAUGUUAACAUUAUAUUAUUUUAUACUAAUACAAUUUAUCAGAGAGAAACAUUUUCUUUACCAAGUAAUUUAAAAAGAUCUAAAAAAAGAUUGGUGUCAAAAUUAUUGGCUCUCCUGUUUUUAAUACUUCAUGCACCCUCCCCUUGCGAGGACAACAGCACUUAACCUUUUUCUAUAAUGUUUUAUGAGAUUAGGCAACACAUUUCAAGGGAUCUUGGACCAUUUGUCUAUACGGAAUCCCUCCAGAUCCUUGAUAUUCUACUGUCUGUGUUCAUGGACUGCCCUCAAUUCAAACCACAGGUUUUCAAUGGGGUUCAAGUCCGGAGACUGAGAUGGCCAUUGCAAAAUGUUGAUUUCGUGGUCAAUUAACAAUUUCUUUGUUGAUCUUGAUGUGUGCUUGAGGUCAUCGUCUUGGUGGAAGAUCCACUUGCGAUCAAGUUUUUACCUUUUGAUCCAUCUUCCUCUGUGUGCGUGGGGACAAGAUACACUUGCAUCCUCUACCAGGCAUGUUUACCACUGUUCCAGUAGUUUUAAACGUCUUUAUUGUUGCCCUAAUAGUGGUGUUUUUUUUGUACCCAUUGCCUGAUUUAUGAAAGUCAACAACCAUUUGUCUCUUCAUUUGUGAGUUCUUUGCCUAGUGAUGGAUAACAAAGGGAUUUUACAUGCGAGUUACCUCGAUUUUAUACCACAGUGAAACAGGAACCCAUGGAAGGCCACAGUACAGUUCCAGUACAAUGAGAUUAACUAUAAAAAAAGUUUCAUGUUAAUGGCUCGUACCACCGAUUCAGUGCCUUUGUAAUUCGAUACAAUUUUGACUUCACCUCAUUUUAACAUUCUGUCAUAAAGAGAACAUGUUCAACUUAAUAAAUAACACGUUCUGCCAUCUCAAGAAGUUAAAUAAAAAAAUACUAAAGUAACAGGGUUGACCAUAACAGGGUUGACGAUUUCCUUUUAAAUCAGCCAUAAAUCCCCUCGUGACAGGGGAAAUGGAGGCUUGUUGUGUGCAACAGGGAGAGAGGCAACUGAAUGCAAGCUUCACAAAACAUUUAAUUAAUCAAAUAUGUAUAGCCUGUCUAUCUAUGGGUAACAGGGUUGAUGUGUUACGCUCGACCCACUCAGUUUUCCACCCAAAAAUUGCCAAAAAGAGUAAAACCACCUCACCUGCAUUUACACUUUGAUUUGACUUUUAGAUGUGCAAUGUUUUAGAUGUGCAAUGUAUCUUGCAAAAAAGUUAAAUGUUUUAUUUUAGGAUUAAGUGUGUUGAAUUCUUCCUAGAAGUGACAGAGGUUUGACGGAGGGACAUGUCAAAAAGCUGCAUUUUUGGCAUUUUAGCAAACCUUUAUUCAUAUAAAAAAAAUCUGAUUUAUUGAAUUCUCCAUGUGGUUUAUUUUAAAAGACACAUUUUCUACAUAAAAUAUCAAAGGGAUGUAAAAUACACUCAUUUCAGUGAAUGACCCAAAUGCAGAUUAUUAUUUUUUGAAUGUUAUUUAUAAGAAUAUUUGGGGGUGCCAAUCAUUUUAACACCUGUCUUUUAUUUAUUUUUUUCUUCUUGUUAAACAACAUCUCUUUCUAGCAAUUAUGUUAGUAUGAAAUAAUAUAAUUUCCCAUUUCUUUCCCAAUAAAAUGCGGCAUUUGUAAAAAAAAAUUGCUAAUCUUUAUCAAUGGUGCCAAUAGUUUUGGAGGUGACCGUAACAUGCAUUGUAUUUAAUCAAAAUCCCUCUUUCGUUGCUCUUUAUUAUUUUCUUCAUUCUUUUUUUUAGAUCUUGACGGGCUGCAUUGGUGCCGUGGUCCAGAUCCCAUUGAUUGGAUCAACAGAGGUUGCUAGACAUCCACCAAACGGUUAUGAAGAAUUCCUUCACCAGAACAGCAGGGGG
Oncorhynchus tshawytscha (Chinook salmon) is the source of this 2268-nucleotide long non-coding RNA. The record is from Ensembl. Lineage: Eukaryota; Metazoa; Chordata; Actinopteri; Salmoniformes; Salmonidae.